Molecule: long non-coding RNA, 1377 nt
Organism: Eriocheir sinensis (Chinese mitten crab)
Lineage: Eukaryota; Metazoa; Arthropoda; Malacostraca; Decapoda; Varunidae
Exons: 2
Source: RefSeq, a predicted model, not a curated record
AAAAAAAAAAAAAAAAAAAAGCCCGCUACUCACUGCUCCUAAAAAGAGUUAGAGGAGUGGCUGUGAAUUUCUAUGGUCCAAUAAAGAAGGAAAUUAAGAGAAUGUCAAAUGGCAUCAAAAUAUCUAAAAUCCUCAUUGAAAAAGGUUUAUUGACAGAGGAAAUGUCGUAGAUAUAAUGGUGUGCUUCAGUCAAGUGUAAUAUGGAUGCAAGUACUACCAAUGCCUCUCUGUUAGCUCUAUAUUACUCCUCCAUACUAAUCUCUAUUACUCCUAUAUAUUACUUUUGAAUGAAGCUCACGGUCAUGCCAUUCAUUCAUCUAUUUUUGCUAUGCGUCUUGAAGUGCGGAUUUUAGUUAUUUAAGUGCUAUGUGACAUCCUCUUGCUAUGGGGUGAGAAAUAUAUGGUUGUAAUUGGACCCAGCUUCAGCCUGUUACUCCGGAAAGCCCCUCGGAUCAUAGGUUUCUUAUAGCGCAUUUGUGAAAAACUGAAGUUGAGGAUAUCCUGAUCUUCCUAUACUUAACAUUAUCUUUUGUCUUAAUCAGUGGGCCAGCUAUGUCGAUUGUUUUUUUUCUCAGUCCACCUCUAUGAUAAAGUAAAGAGCCUUAAUGGAAGUAUCUCAGAAGUUAAUAUAUGUUGCCACUUGUCGACUCAAACAUGUAAACCCUUUUUGUAAGCUUUGAACCUUUUGUCUGAUAAAGUUAAUAGUUUUGUGAAAUUAUCUCAGAAGUGAACAUAUGUUGCCACUUAUCAAACUCAAACAUGUUAACCAUUUUUGUAAGCUUUGAACCUUUUGUUUGCUAAAGUUAACAGGUUUUUGAAAUUAUCUUGAAAGUAAAUAUGUGUUGAUUCAUUGACUUAAACAUGUAAGUCAUUUUUGUAAGCUUUGAACCUUGUGUCUGAUAAAGUUAAUAGGUUUAUGAAAUUAUCUCGAAAGUAAACACAUUUUGCCACCUAUCAACUCAAACAUGUUAACCAAUUUUGUAAGCUUUGAACCUUGUGUCUGAUGAAGUUAACAGGUUUAUGAAAUUAUCUCAAAAGUAAACACAUUUUGCCACCUAUCAACUCAAACAUGUAAGUCAUUUUUGUAAGCUUUGAACCUUUUGUCUGAUAAAGUUAACAGGUUUAUGAAAUUAUCUCAAAAGUAAACAUAUGUUGCUCCCUAUCAACUCAAACAUGUUAACCAUUUUUGUAAGCUUUUCCUUGAACCUUGUUGUGUCUGCCCCAGUGCAUGUCUGUUGAUAUCCAGUACCUCUGUGGUUAUGUCUGUUGCAUAGAAAUAUGUAUACUAUCAGUCUUGAACAAGGUCUGCUUUCUGAUAAUGAUACCCCGUUAUGUCCUGACUACCUGUUUGUCUUAUAUAAAAUUCUUGUUGAGUGA